RNAcentral lists this ribosomal RNA (459 nucleotides) under uncultured bacterium. Its description in RNAcentral is "partial 16S ribosomal RNA". It matches the Rfam family "Bacterial small subunit ribosomal RNA", at positions 338 to 795 of the family's 1533-position model. The record is from RNAcentral.
CCUACGGGUGGCAGCAGUGAGGAAUAUUGGUCAAUGGGCGGGAGCCUGAACCAGCCAAGUCGCGUGAAGGAAGAAGGUACUUCGUAUUGUAAAAUUCUUUUGUCGGGGAACAAAGGCGGAGACGCGUCCCCGGAUGAGUGUACCAGAAGACAAAGCAUCGGCUAACUCCGUGCCAGCAGCCGCGGUAAUACGGAGGAUGCGAGCGUUAUCCGGAUGUAUUGGGUUUAAAGGGUGCGCAGGCGGGCGAUAAAGUCAGCGGUAAAAUGUCGGGGCUAAACCCCGGCCGGCCGUUGAAACUGGUUGUCUAGAGUUGGAGAGAAGUAUGCGGAAUUCGUGGUGUAGCGGUGAAAUGCUUAGAGAUCACGAAGAACUCCGAUUGCGAAGGCAGCAUACCGGCUCCAAACUGACGCUGAGGCACGAAAGCGUGGGGAUCGAACAGGAUUAGAUACCCUGGUAGUC